UUGACUUGUUGAGUGUAAGAAUUAAUUUUAUAUUUUCUAUACGAGUAAUAAUGUAUAUACAAUAUAAUGGUUGACAUUUGUGUGAUUCACAUAUGUUAACACAGUAAAUAGCGUUGAAAAUUAUUUUUCUUUUUGCAUGCCUACGCAGGCGAAAAUUUCGACGAAAGAUCAGUGGAGAAAAAUUUAAGCGCGUUAUCUUAUC
This is a non-coding RNA of Cinara cedri, 202 nucleotides long. Lineage: Eukaryota; Metazoa; Arthropoda; Insecta; Hemiptera; Aphididae. The record is from the annotation of a GenBank genome assembly.